GGGAAUUUUGCGCAAUGGGGGGAACCCUGACGCAGCAACGCCGCGUGGAGGAUGAAGUCUCUUGGGACGUAAACUCCUUUCGACAGGGACGAUAAUGACGGUACCUGUAGGAGAAGCCCCGGCUAACUUCGUGCCAGCAGCCGCGGUAAUACGAGGGGGGCAAGCGUUGUUCGGAAUUAUUGGGCGUAAAGGGCGCGUAGGCGGUUUGGCAAGUUUCGUGUGAAAUCUUCGGGCUCAACUCGAAGUCUGCACGGAAAACUGCCGGGCUUGAGUAUGGGAGAGGUGAGUGGAAUUUCCGGUGUAGCGGUGAAAUGCGUAGAUAUCGGAAGGAACACCUGUGGCGAAAGCGGCUCACUGGACCAUAACUGACGCUGAGGCGCGAAAGCUAGGGGAGCAAA
This 398-nucleotide ribosomal RNA is filed under the name uncultured bacterium. RNAcentral describes it as "bacterial SSU rRNA". It matches the Rfam family "Bacterial small subunit ribosomal RNA", at positions 357 to 772 of the family's 1533-position model. The record is from RNAcentral.